Lontra canadensis (Northern American river otter) is the source of this 1392-nucleotide long non-coding RNA. RefSeq lists it as uncharacterized. The record is from RefSeq and is a predicted model, not a curated record. Lineage: Eukaryota; Metazoa; Chordata; Mammalia; Carnivora; Mustelidae. The transcript has 3 exons.
GGGGUUGUGAGUUCGAACCCCAUGUUGGGUGUAGAGAUUACUUAAAAAUAAAACCUUUAAAAAAAAAUCAGGAGAAUGAGUAAUAUGUUGAGGACUUAAAUGUGUCAGGCCCCAGGUUAAGAACUUCAAUAUCCUUUGUCUCUUUCCAUCUUCACAACAGCCCUGUGGGGAAGAUCACUAUUGUGGAGAUAUUAUUAUGGGGCUAAUAAUGGGUCUGUCAUUAUCUCCAUUUCGCAGAUGAGGAAACUGGGUCCCAGAAAGGUAAAUAACUUUCCCGAGGCUAUUCAGCUGAUAACUAGCGGAGCCAGGAUUCAAACCCAGGAUGAUCUUGUCUCCAGUGCCCUUGAUCCCUGAUACUUAGCAGAGAAAGCAAUGGGAUGAAGAUGUGUCAUGACCCUGGACACAUAAGGAAAUACAUCAUGGGCACUCUCUGAGGGCAGGUUCCUUGAGGAAAGCAGGCCCUCGUCACCAGAGUGAGAUCUCCUCCCAGCCGGGGAAUGGCCUUGAAGAACCACAGCACACACUCACAUGUGUCAACCCGGGUCCCUAUAAAGCCACACUUGCCAUGAUCUCUCCACUCUACACCCCACCAUCGCACCCAGCUUGCCCCUUGGCUGGCAGCAGGUAGCCACGAGAAUUAAAUGAGGGCCAGCACAGGCCAGCUCCCAUCCCCUCUUCCGAUGCCCUCAGACCACCUAUUCUCACUCAGCUGGAUUCAGAUCCUGAGGACACUGAACAUACCAAACAUUUAGGAUAUUCACCCCCUGGUCCCUCCCACCUCACCUCAGGCUCAGACCACAGAUACCCAACUCGGCAGCGGGAGCAUCAGGGGCCAGGCCUAGUUCUACUUGUGGAGUGGGGUAAGUCACAUGCACUCUGGACCUCUCAGGUUUCUCACCCAGAUUUGGAGGUGGAGAUGACCUAGCAUGCUUUUCCCAAAAUGUGGGGGCUGAGGGAUACAAGAACCACAGCAGGCUCAGGGUCCUUUUGUAUAAUGCUCCACUGCCCAGCAACACCCCCAAGGCCCUGGCAUGAGGUUUGGGAAAUGCAGAGGAAGUGAGGAAGUGAAAUCUGGCCUCUAACUGGCUUUGAAGCAGGGUUCUAGUAAGCUCGUUUCAUUUUCCCUGUGGUUUCCACAAGAAAAUGCAAAGUAACUUUGCAAUGAAAGUAAAAAUGCAGAAAAAAACAAAAGGUAUGAAGAUUAAAAAGCAACAUCAUUACUCUGAGAAAACACAGAACGGACUAGGACUACUGCUAAAGUUAUAUAAUGGCCCCUCUUUAUCAAAUAGGACCUUAUUAGAUUGAAGACUCAGUUACCACAUAGUUAUUAUCCCCCCCAAAUAUUCAGUGCAGAUUUAAUAAAGACAAACUGCCUUGAUGACUUACAUAGAG